GUGUCCAGUAACUUUCAUUUUCAAGCCUGUGCUCUUCUCGAGGUAUCAGGAAGGGACUACGGUUGUUACAUAUGGCUGAAGACACACGCAACAAAAACCCACUUAAGAUUUUGGAAUCUGUGGGCAAAGAGCUCAUUACUGGCGUUUUGGAUGACUUGGUGGGAAAAAAUGUCCUGAAAUUGGAGGAAGAGGAGAAGAAAAAAAUUUAUGAUGCCAAGCUUGAAGACAAGGCGCGGGUCUUGGUGGACUCUAUGCGACAGAAACGCCAUGAGGCAGGUCAAAUCUUUGUUCAAACCUUCCUAAACAUAGAAAAAAAUUCCACCAGUAUAAAAGCUCCUGAGGAAAUCGUGACUGGACCAGAUGAGUCAGCAGAAACUACAGAUACCCUCAAGCUUUGCCCUCAUGAAGAAUUUCUUAAACUGUGUAAAGAAAGGGCUGAAGAGGUCUAUCCAAUAAAGGAGAUAAAGUCCCGCACUCGUCUGGCUCUCAUCAUAUGCAAUACAGAGUUUGAUCAUCUCCCUCUCAGGAAUGGGGCUGCCCAUGACAUCAUGGGAAUGAAGGGGCUGCUUGAGGGCCUUGGCUACAGUGUGGAUGUGGAAGAGAAACUCACAGCCAGGGAUAUGGAAUCAGUGCUGUGCAGAUUUGCUGCCCGUGAAGAGCACAAAUCUUCAGACAGCACAUUCUUGGUGUUCAUGUCUCAUGGCAUCCUGGAUGGGAUCUGUGGGACUAUGCAUAGUGAUGAAAAACGAGAUGUGCUACCUUAUGACACCAUCUUCCGGAUAUUCAACAACCGCAAUUGCCUCAGUCUAAAGGACAAACCUAAGGUCAUCAUUGUCCAGGCCUGUAGAGGUGCAAAUCGUGGGGAAUUGUGGGUCAGUGACUCUCCAGCAGCCUUGGCAGACAGCUCUUCACAGUCGCCUGAGAACCUGGAGGAGGAUGCCAUUUACAAGACCCAUGUGGAGAAGGACUUCAUUGCUUUCUGCUCCUCAACCCCACAUAAUGUGUCCUGGAGAGACAUCACAAAAGGUUCUCUCUUCAUUACUCAACUCAUCACAUGCUUCCAAAAAUAUUCCUGGCGCUGUCAUCUAGAGGAAGUAUUUAGGAAGGUACAAAAAUCAUUUGAAAAACCAAAUGUUAAAGCCCAGAUGCCCACCAUUGAACGACUCUCCAUGACAAGAUAUUUCUACCUCUUUCCUGGCAAUUGAAAAUAGCAUCUGGAUCCACCCCUACAUCUCUACAAUCAUCAAUCAAUAAAUCAAUCAGCCAAGAAGAAAAUCACAGGAAGUUCAGCUGUUUCAACUUCAAGAAGCACUUUUACCAGUACAGAACACAUGUUUAAUCUUUUGUCUUUCAAUGAAAAUGAAAACAAAUGAACUGGGUUGUUUUGGGUCUUCUAAUAGAGAAUAGACUUUCAGUUAAAAUGGUGGAUGGAUGGAAAUGAAGUGGAAGAAGCAAACUGGGUUUUCUAGUUUUAUUUCAUAUAAUAUCUGCACUUCAUUGAGUAAAGGGAACUGGUCAUGACUUGCCCUCAGCAAUAGGGUGAAAGGAGAUGGUGCUCAUCUGGAGACAAGAGCUGUAAAUUGGUCAGCUCCUCCUUUAUACACUCAUCAAACCCCAGGCCUAGAAUUGUGCAGAAGAAGUUUUCUAAUAUAUUAUUCAAACAAUGUCAUAGCUUGAGUACAUUUUUUUCUUCAGUAAGUUAUGAUUUUAGCAAAUUACACCUAUGUAUCUUUCUUCCUAUCUAUAAGUUAAUUUACUUUCUUGUUGAUUAUUUUCUUUCCAGAUUUCUGCAUAUUUCCAAGCUUCAGGAAAAUUUUAUUAUUUAGCAAACAUUCGGUUAUUGUCUAAAAUAAA
Balaenoptera ricei (Rice's whale) is the source of this 1854-nucleotide RNA transcript. It is a transcript of the gene named caspase-13, with no coding region annotated. The transcript is spliced from 10 exons. The record is from RefSeq and is a predicted model, not a curated record. NCBI's taxonomy places the organism in Eukaryota, Metazoa, Chordata, Mammalia, Artiodactyla, Balaenopteridae.